ACGGGUGAGUAACGCGCGGGUAACCUACCUCAUACAGGGGGAUAACAGUUGGAAACGACCGCUAAUACCGCAUAACCCGCUAGUAUCGCAUGAUACGGACGGAAAAGAUUUAUCGGUAUGAGAUGGACCCGCGUCUGAUUAGCCAGUUGGCAGGGUAACGGCCUACCAAAGCAACGAUCAGUAGCCGGCCUGAGAGGGUGAACGGCCACAUUGGGACUGAGACACGGCCCAAACUCCUACGGGGGGCAGCAGUGGGGAAUAUUGCACAAUGGGGGAAACCCUGAUGCAGCGACGCCGCGUGAGUGAGGAAGUAUUUCGGUAUGUAAAGCUCUAUCAGCAGGGAAGAAAAUGACGGUACCUGACUAAGAAGCCCCGGCUAACUACGUGCCAGCAGCCGCGGUAAUACGUAGGGGGCAAGCGUUAUCCGGAUUUACUGGGUGUAAAGGGAGCGUAGACGGCUAAUCAAGUCAGAAGUGAAAACCCAGGGCUCAACCUUGGGACUGCUUUUGAAACUGAGUAGCUAGAGUGCAGGAGAGGUAAGCGGAAUUCCUAGUGUAGCGGUGAAAUGCGUAGAUAUUAGGAGGAACACCAGUGGCGAAGGCGGCUUACUGGACUGUAACUGACGUUGAGG
This 631-nucleotide ribosomal RNA is filed under the name uncultured bacterium. RNAcentral describes it as "bacterial SSU rRNA". It matches the Rfam family "Bacterial small subunit ribosomal RNA", at positions 102 to 751 of the family's 1533-position model. The record is from RNAcentral.